CUCUCUCAAGGGGACAUAGCAUGCCCAAAGAGAAAUGCCUUCCUACCACGGCAGUUGUUUACUAGACACCAGAGCACCACCCAGAAGUCCAGAUUCAGAUGCAAAGAAACUGCCAAUAGAAGCUCGACUAGACUGUUUACUAAAGAUCAGGAAGCGUACCAUGAGAGCCAAGAGGAUUCUGGUGUUCUUAAAGAGCAGAGUCAAAGAAGCUAUUACAGAUAUUACAGUUUACCCUGGCUGAGAUGAUAAAUCCUAGUGUGGUGAGGAAUAUCAGCUGAAAUACCCUUCAGGCAUUACCGGGCAAUGCAAUCUUCU
Long non-coding RNA from Podarcis muralis (Common wall lizard), 315 nucleotides. RefSeq lists it as uncharacterized. The record is from RefSeq and is a predicted model, not a curated record. NCBI's taxonomy places the organism in Eukaryota, Metazoa, Chordata, Lepidosauria, Squamata, Lacertidae.